RNAcentral lists this ribosomal RNA (358 nucleotides) under uncultured fungus. Its description in RNAcentral is "LSU rRNA". It matches the Rfam family "Eukaryotic large subunit ribosomal RNA", at positions 320 to 667 of the family's 3401-position model. Lineage: Eukaryota; Fungi. The record is from RNAcentral.
AUAUUGGGGAGAGACCGAUAGCGAACAAGUACCGUGAGGGAAAGAUGAAAAGCACUUUGGAAAGAGAGUUAAACAGUACGUGAAAUUGUCAAAAGGGAACCAUUUGAAGUUAGUCAUGCUUGCCUGGAUUCAGCCUUGCUUUUGCUUGGUGCAUUUCCAGGUUUGCAGGUCAGCAUCGGUUUUGACUGCUGGAUAAGGGUGAGAGGAAUGUGGCACCCUCGGGUGUGUUAUAGCCUUUCACUGGAUGCAGCAGUUGGGACCGAGGAACGCAGCGCGCCUUUAUGGCGGACCUUCGGGUACCUUCGCGCUUAGGAUGCUGGCAUAAUAGCUUUAAACGACCCGUCUUGAAACACGGACC